This 274-nucleotide ribosomal RNA is filed under the name uncultured bacterium. RNAcentral describes it as "partial 16S ribosomal RNA". It matches the Rfam family "Bacterial small subunit ribosomal RNA", at positions 523 to 796 of the family's 1533-position model. The record is from RNAcentral.
AUACGGAGGGUGCAAGCGUUGUUCGGAAUCACUGGGCGUAAAGGGCGCGCAGGCGGUUUGGUAAGUCAGAUGUGAAAGCCCACGGCUCAACCGUGGAAGUGCAUUUGAAACUGCCAGACUUGAGUACCAGAGGGGAGAGUGGAAUUCCCGGUGUAGAGGUGAAAUUCGUAGAUAUCGGGAGGAAUACCGGUGGCGAAGGCGACUUUCUGGCUGGAUACUGACGCUGAGGCGCGAAAGCGUGGGGAGCAAACAGGAUUAGAAACCCUAGUAGUCC